UUUGUACUCCCUCCGUCCCAAAAUUCUUGUCUUAAAUUUUUCUAAAUAUGGAUGUAUCUAGUUACAUUUUAGUGUUAGAUACAUCCGUAUCUAAACAAAUGUAAGACAAGAAUUUUUGGACGGGGGGAAUACUAC
This is a non-coding RNA of Triticum aestivum (bread wheat), 135 nucleotides long. Lineage: Eukaryota; Viridiplantae; Streptophyta; Magnoliopsida; Poales; Poaceae. The record is from Rfam.